RNAcentral lists this ribosomal RNA (468 nucleotides) under uncultured bacterium. Its description in RNAcentral is "partial 16S ribosomal RNA". It matches the Rfam family "Bacterial small subunit ribosomal RNA", at positions 28 to 507 of the family's 1533-position model. The record is from RNAcentral.
GACGAACGCUGGCGGCGUGCUUAACACAUGCAAGUCGAACGGAAAGGCCCUGCUUUUGUGGGGUGCUCGAGUGGCGAACGGGUGAGUAACACGUGAGUAACCUGCCCUUGACUUUGGGAUAACUUCAGGAAACUGGGGCUAAUACCGGAUAGGAGCUCCUGCUGCAUGGUGGGGGUUGGAAAGUUUCGGCGGUUGGGGAUGGACUCGCGGCUUAUCAGCUUGUUGGUGGGGUAGUGGCUUACCAAGGCUUUGACGGGUAGCCGGCCUGAGAGGGUGACCGGCCACAUUGGGACUGAGAUACGGCCCAGACUCCUACGGGAGGCAGCAGUGGGGAAUAUUGCACAAUGGGCGAAAGCCUGAUGCAGCAACGCCGCGUGCGGGAUGAAGGCCUUCGGGUUGUAAACCGCUUUCGCCUGUGACGAAGCGUGAGUGACGGUAAUGGGUAAAGAAGCACCGGCUAACUACGUG